UAACUGAAUCCAUAGGUUAAUGAGGCGAACCGGGGGAACUGAAACAUCUAAGUACCCCGAGGAAAAGAAAUCAACCGAGAUUCCCCCAGUAGCGGCGAGCGAACGGGGAGGAGCCCAGAGCCUGAAUCAGUGUGUGUGUUAGUGGAAGCGUCUGGAAAGGCGCGCGAUACAGGGUGACAGCCCCGUACACAAAAAUGCACAUACUGUGAGCUCGAUGAGUAGGGCGGGACACGUGGUAUCCUGUCUGAAUAUGGGGGGACCAUCCUCCAAGGCUAAAUACUCCUGACUGACCGAUAGUGAACCAGUACCGUGAGGGAAAGGCGAAAAGAACCCCGGCGAGGGGAGUGAAAAAGAACCUGAAACCGU
RNAcentral lists this ribosomal RNA (366 nucleotides) under Escherichia coli. RNAcentral's name for it is "partial 23S ribosomal RNA". It matches the Rfam family "Bacterial large subunit ribosomal RNA", at positions 155 to 559 of the family's 2925-position model. The record is from RNAcentral. Lineage: Bacteria; Pseudomonadati; Pseudomonadota; Gammaproteobacteria; Enterobacterales; Enterobacteriaceae.